RNAcentral lists this ribosomal RNA (456 nucleotides) under uncultured bacterium. RNAcentral's name for it is "bacterial SSU rRNA". It matches the Rfam family "Bacterial small subunit ribosomal RNA", at positions 15 to 518 of the family's 1533-position model. The record is from RNAcentral.
GAUUCUGGCUCAGAACGAACGCUGGCGGCAGGCCUAACACAUGCAAGUCGAGCGCGCCCUUCGGGGUGAGCGGCGGACGGGUUAGUAACGCGUGGAACGUACCCUUUGGUAGGGAAUAGCCACUGGAAACGGUGAGUAAUACCCUAUGAGCCCUUCGGGGGAAAGAUUUAUCGCCAAAGGAUCGGCCCGCGUUAGAUUAGGUAGUUGGUGGGGUAAUGGCCUACCAAGCCUACGAUCUAUAGCUGGUUUUAGAGGAUGAUCAGCAACACUGGGACUGAGACACGGCCCAGACUCCUACGGGAGGCAGCAGUGGGGAAUCUUGGACAAUGGGGGCAACCCUGAUCCAGCCAUGCCGCGUGAGUGAAGAAGGCCUUAGGGUCGUAAAGCUCUUUCGCCUGUGAAGAUAAUGACGGUAGCAGGUAAAGAAACCCCGGCUAACUCCGUGCCAGCCGCGGC